This 460-nucleotide ribosomal RNA is filed under the name uncultured bacterium. RNAcentral's name for it is "partial 16S ribosomal RNA". It matches the Rfam family "Bacterial small subunit ribosomal RNA", at positions 338 to 795 of the family's 1533-position model. The record is from RNAcentral.
CCUACUGGAGGCAGCAGUGAGGAAUCUUGGUCAAUGGACGAGCGUCUGAACCAUCCAAGUAGCGUGAAGGAUGACUGCCCUAUGGGUUGUAAACUUCUUUUAUAUGGGAAUAAAAUGUUCCACGUGUGGGAUUUUGUAUGUACCAUAUGAAUAAGGAUCGGCUAACUCCGUGCCAGAAGCCGCGGUAAUACGGAGGAGCCGAGCGUUAUCCGGAUUUCUUGGGUUUAAAGGUAGCGUAGGUGGAUUGUUAAGUCAGCUGUGAAAGUUUGUGGCUCAACCGUAAAAUUGCAGUGGAAACUGGCAGUCUUGAGUACAGUAGAGGUGUGCGGAAUUCGUGGUGUAGCGGUGAAAUGCUUAGAUAUCACGAAGAACUCCGAUUGCGAAGGCAGCUCACGGGACUGCAACUGACACUGAGGCUCGAAAGUGUGGGUAUCAAACAGGAUUAGAUACCCGUGUAGUC